RNAcentral lists this non-coding RNA (30 nucleotides) under Rattus norvegicus (Norway rat). The record is from RNAcentral. Lineage: Eukaryota; Metazoa; Chordata; Mammalia; Rodentia; Muridae.
UGGGCAACUAGCAUUCCUGAAAGGUGUCCU